RNAcentral lists this ribosomal RNA (497 nucleotides) under uncultured bacterium. RNAcentral's name for it is "partial 16S ribosomal RNA". It matches the Rfam family "Bacterial small subunit ribosomal RNA", at positions 28 to 507 of the family's 1533-position model. The record is from RNAcentral.
GAUGAACGCUGGCGGCGUGCCUAAUACAUGCAAGUCGAGCGAACAGACGAGGAGCUUGCUCCUCUGACGUUAGCCGCGGACGGGUAAGUAACACGUGGAUAACCUACCUAUAAGACUGGGAUAACUUCGGGAAACCGGAGCUAAUACCGGAUAAUAUAUUGAACCGCAUGGUUCAAUAGUGAAAGACGGUUUUGCUGUCACUUAUAGAUGGAUCCGCGCCGCAUUAGCUAGUUGGUAAGGUAACGGCUUACCAAGGCAACGAUGCGUAGCCGACCUGAGAGGGUGGUAGGCCACACUGGAACUGAGACACGCUCCAGACUCCUACGGGAGGCAGCAGUAGGGAAUCGUCCGCAAUGGGCGAAAGCCUGACGGAGCAACGCCGCGUGAGUGAUGAAGGUCUUCGGAUCGUAAAACUCUGUUAUUAGGGAAGAACAAAUGUGUAAGUAACUAUGCACGUCUUGACGGUACCUAAUCAGAAAGCCACGGCUAACUACGUG